GCCCAGUCGUAAACUUUUACUUACAUUUUAAUCGCCAGGGAACUACGAGCUAAGCUUAAAACCCAAAGGACUUGACGGUACCCCACAUCCCCCUAGAGGAGCCUGUCCUAUAAUCGAUAAUCCACGUUUAACCUCACCAUUUUUAGUUAAUCAGCCUGUAUACCUCCGUCGUCAGCUUACCACGUGAGCGCCAAUUAGUGAGCCUAAUGUUAUUUCACCCACACGUCAGGUCAAGGUGCAGCAAAUGAAAUGGGAAGAGAUGGGCUACACUUUCUACUAUAGAAGAAACGAAAAACUACCUAUGAAACCUAGUUGGAAGGCGGAUUUAGCAGUAAAAAGGAAUCAGCAUAUCCAUUUUAACCCGGCACUGGGGUGUGU
Molecule: ribosomal RNA, 378 nt
Filed under: Sclerophrys cf. gracilipes HCL-2014
Lineage: Eukaryota; Metazoa; Chordata; Amphibia; Anura; Bufonidae
Description: partial 12S ribosomal RNA
Rfam family: Bacterial small subunit ribosomal RNA
Source: RNAcentral